This 73-nucleotide transfer RNA is filed under the name Camelus bactrianus (Bactrian camel). It matches the Rfam family "tRNA". From Rfam's summary of the family: Transfer RNA (tRNA) molecules are approximately 80 nucleotides in length. Their secondary structure includes four short double-helical elements and three loops (D, anti-codon, and T loops). Lineage: Eukaryota; Metazoa; Chordata; Mammalia; Artiodactyla; Camelidae. The record is from Rfam by way of RNAcentral. RNAcentral also lists the same sequence under 1 other name.
GAGGGUAUAGCUCAAGUGAUAGGGUGCAUGCUUAGCAUGCAUGAGGUCUUUGGUUCAAUUCCCAGUAUCUCUU